AAUCAGAAUCAGAAUCAGAAUCAGAAUCAGAAUGGUGUUUAUUGCCAGGUGAAAGAGACGGGUGCAGCAGGUCCAUGGCCGCUCCGCUCAGACCCAGUCCGUUCAUCCCGUACGGGGCCUGUUUCAGAUAAGACAUCAUGCUAGAAGACCGGAGGGGAGACCGGAGUCUGGACGGUAUCCGGCGGGACGGUGCAGAUCUCCCGGUGUGAAGGUGGUCAGAUGUUCAGGUGAUCAGGUCUCCGGUGAUCAGGUCGACUCCUGAGACAUAAAGAGGCACCAUAGAUGGCCUCGGUAAAACUAAUCCUUUGACUGAAUUAAGGAGGUGAGAGAGGAAACUAAAUCUGAUCUCCUGGAAAAUAACUUCUGGAAUUAAACUGGACGAAUUAGAGGAAGAACAUGUUAAACAAAAUGUUGUUUUAUGGAGAAUUGAUCUGCAGCUUAACGUGUAUUGGAUAAAUAAAUAAAAAGGCCCAGAAGAAGCUUCAUGGACUAAAUGUUUGCUUGUGUGGAAAUGUACACGAACAUGUGAACAUUGUGAGGAAAGAAACUCCCAGCAGUUGAAUUAAUGUGAAAUAAAAAAGUGACACCAGG
This is a long non-coding RNA of Sebastes umbrosus (honeycomb rockfish), 591 nucleotides long. RefSeq lists it as uncharacterized. The record is from RefSeq and is a predicted model, not a curated record. NCBI's taxonomy places the organism in Eukaryota, Metazoa, Chordata, Actinopteri, Perciformes, Sebastidae. The transcript has 3 exons.